AGGGAAAUAACUCUUAAAAUCAUCAGUAUGUUUGUGUCAGCCAUUUUCAUAAAUAUGUUCUAAGCUUCUUGGAUACAUAGAUUAUUUUCAAUCUGUUUCAGGUAAAUGUUUAAAAUUCAUUGAGGAAACUUGACUUUUACAAACACAUAACUGAUUUAAAGAGUUAUCUCCCUGUACCAAGGUCUACCCCCUUAACAAACAACUCAUUUACACGUGCCAUUUUUAUGUAUAUAUUGCAUUUUUGCUUGUUUAAAUCAAAAUCUGUUGUUAUGUGAUUAUUGUUAAAAAUAAAUAUAGAGAUG
Molecule: long non-coding RNA, 302 nt
Filed under: Mytilus galloprovincialis (Mediterranean mussel)
Lineage: Eukaryota; Metazoa; Mollusca; Bivalvia; Mytilida; Mytilidae
Source: RNAcentral